This 111-nucleotide non-coding RNA is filed under the name bovine gut metagenome. RNAcentral's name for it is "Moco (molybdenum cofactor) riboswitch". The stretch from base 9 to 97 matches the Rfam family "Molybdenum/Tungsten riboswitch aptamer (Moco RNA motif)", at positions 14 to 118 of the family's 135-position model. The record is from RNAcentral.
GAAAUCAAUCCGAUCCCCACUGCCUAAAGCGUGCGCCAUGGUGCUGGGGGCGGCAGGGUGUGUCGGGAAACGGGCACGCCUCCCAUUGUGGAAAGGAGAUAAUUAUGAAAA